GGUUAAGCGACUAAGCGUACACGGUGGAUGCCCUGGCAGUCAGAGGCGAUGAAGGACGUGCUAAUCUGCGAUAAGCGUCGGUAAGGUGAUAUGAACCGUUAUAACCGGCGAUUUCCGAAUGGGGAAACCCAGUGUGUUUCGACACACUAUCAUUAACUGAAUCCAUAGGUUAAUGAGGCGAACCGGGGGAACUGAAACAUCUAAGUACCCCGAGGAAAAGAAAUCAACCGAGAUUCCCCCAGUAGCGGCGAGCGAACGGGGAGCAGCCCAGAGCCUGAAUCAGUGUGUGUGUUAGUGGAAGCGUCUGGAAAGGCGCGCGAUACAGGGUGACAGCCCCGUACACAAAAAUGCACAUGCUGUGAGCUCGAUGAGUAGGGCGGGACACGUGGUAUCCUGUCUGAAUAUGGGGGGACCAUCCUCCAAGGCUAAAUACUCCUGACUGACCGAUAGUGAACCAGUACCGUGAGGGAAAGGCGAAAAGAACCCCGGCGAGGGGAGUGAAAAAGAACCUGAAACCGUGUACGUACAAGCAGUGGGAGCACGCUUAGGCGUGUGACUGCGUACCUUUUGUAUAAUGGGUCAGCGACUUAUAUUCUGUAGCAAGGUUAACCGAAUAGGGGAGCCGAAGGGAAACCGAGUCUUAACUGGGCGUUAAGUUGCAGGGUAUAGACCCGAAACCCGGUGAUCUAGCCAUGGGCAGGUUGAAGGUUGGGUAACACUAACUGGAGGACCGAACCGACUAAUGUUGAAAAAUUAGCGGAUGACUUGUGGCUGGGGUGAAAGGCCAAUCAAACCGGGAGAUAGCUGGUUCUCCCCGAAAGCUAUUUAGGUAGCGCCUCGUGAAUUCAUCUCCGGGGGUAGAGCACUGUUUCGGCAAGGGGGUCAUCCCGACUUACCAACCCGAUGCAAACUGCGAAUACCGGAGAAUGUUAUCACGGGAGACACACGGCGGGUGCUAACGUCCGUCGUGAAGAGGGAAACAACCCAGACCGCCAGCUAAGGUCCCAAAGUCAUGGUUAAGUGGGAAACGAUGUGGGAAGGCCCAGACAGCCAGGAUGUUGGCUUAGAAGCAGCCAUCAUUUAAAGAAAGCGUAAUAGCUCACUGGUCGAGUCGGCCUGCGCGGAAGAUGUAACGGGGCUAAACCAUGCACCGAAGCUGCGGCAGCGACGCUUAUGCGUUGUUGGGUAGGGGAGCGUUCUGUAAGCCUGUGAAGGUGUGCUGUGAGGCAUGCUGGAGGUAUCAGAAGUGCGAAUGCUGACAUAAGUAACGAUAAAGCGGGUGAAAAGCCCGCUCGCCGGAAGACCAAGGGUUCCUGUCCAACGUUAAUCGGGGCAGGGUGAGUCGACCCCUAAGGCGAGGCCGAAAGGCGUAGUCGAUGGGAAACAGGUUAAUAUUCCUGUACUUGGUGUUACUGCGAAGGGGGGACGGAGAAGGCUAUGUUGGCCGGGCGACGGUUGUCCCGGUUUAAGCGUGUAGGCUGGUUUUCCAGGCAAAUCCGGAAAAUCAAGGCUGAGGCGUGAUGACGAGGCACUACGGUGCUGAAGCAACAAAUGCCCUGCUUCCAGGAAAAGCCUCUAAGCAUCAGGUAACAUCAAAUCGUACCCCAAACCGACACAGGUGGUCAGGUAGAGAAUACCAAGGCGCUUGAGAGAACUCGGGUGAAGGAACUAGGCAAAAUGGUGCCGUAACUUCGGGAGAAGGCACGCUGAUAUGUAGGUGAAGUCCCUCGCGGAUGGAGCUGAAAUCAGUCGAAGAUACCAGCUGGCUGCAACUGUUUAUUAAAAACACAGCACUGUGCAAACACGAAAGUGGACGUAUACGGUGUGACGCCUGCCCGGUGCCGGAAGGUUAAUUGAUGGGGUCAGCGCAAGCGAAGCUCUUGAUCGAAGCCCCGGUAAACGGCGGCCGUAACUAUAACGGUCCUAAGGUAGCGAAAUUCCUUGUCGGGUAAGUUCCGACCUGCACGAAUGGCGUAAUGAUGGCCAGGCUGUCUCCACCCGAGACUCAGUGAAAUUGAACUCGCUGUGAAGAUGCAGUGUACCCGCGGCAAGACGGAAAGACCCCGUGAACCUUUACUAUAGCUUGACACUGAACAUUGAGCCUUGAUGUGUAGGAUAGGUGGGAGGCUUAGAAGUGUGGACGCCAGUCUGCAUGGAGCCGACCUUGAAAUACCACCCUUUAAUGUUUGAUGUUCUAACGUUGACCCGUAAUCCGGGUUGCGGACAGUGUCUGGUGGGUAGUUUGACUGGGGCGGUCUCCUCCUAAAGAGUAACGGAGGAGCACGAAGGUUGGCUAAUCCUGGUCGGACAUCAGGAGGUUAGUGCAAUGGCAUAAGCCAGCUUGACUGCGAGCGUGACGGCGCGAGCAGGUGCGAAAGCAGGUCAUAGUGAUCCGGUGGUUCUGAAUGGAAGGGCCAUCGCUCAACGGAUAAAAGGUACUCCGGGGAUAACAGGCUGAUACCGCCCAAGAGUUCAUAUCGACGGCGGUGUUUGGCACCUCGAUGUCGGCUCAUCACAUCCUGGGGCUGAAGUAGGUCCCAAGGGUAUGGCUGUUCGCCAUUUAAAGUGGUACGCGAGCUGGGUUUAGAACGUCGUGAGACAGUUCGGUCCCUAUCUGCCGUGGGCGCUGGAGAACUGAGGGGGGCUGCUCCUAGUACGAGAGGACCGGAGUGGACGCAUCACUGGUGUUCGGGUUGUCAUGCCAAUGGCACUGCCCGGUAGCUAAAUGCGGAAGAGAUAAGUGCUGAAAGCAUCUAAGCACGAAACUUGCCCCGAGAUGAGUUCUCCCUGACCCUUUAAGGGUCCUGAAGGAACGUUGAAGACGACGACGUUGAUAGGCCGGGUGUGUAAGCGCAGCGAUGCGUUGAGCUAACCGGUACUAAUGAACCGUGAGGCUUAACCUU
This 2903-nucleotide ribosomal RNA is filed under the name Escherichia coli. RNAcentral describes it as "23S ribosomal RNA". It matches the Rfam family "Bacterial large subunit ribosomal RNA". The record is from RNAcentral. Lineage: Bacteria; Pseudomonadati; Pseudomonadota; Gammaproteobacteria; Enterobacterales; Enterobacteriaceae.